RNAcentral lists this ribosomal RNA (464 nucleotides) under uncultured bacterium. RNAcentral describes it as "partial 16S ribosomal RNA". It matches the Rfam family "Bacterial small subunit ribosomal RNA", at positions 339 to 795 of the family's 1533-position model. The record is from RNAcentral.
CUACGGGAUGCACCAGUGAGGAAUUUUGCGCAAUGGGGGGAACCCUGACGCAGCAACGCCGUGUGAGUGAAGAAGGCCUCCGGGUCGUAAAGCUCUGUCAAGUGGGAAAAAAGCCUUUUGAUCAAUACCCAAAAGGUUUGAUGGUACCACUGGAGGAAGCACCGGCUAACUCCGUGCCAGCAGCCGCGGUAAUACGGAGGGUGCAAGCGUUGUUCGGAAUUACUGGGCGUAAAGGGCGUGCAGGCGGUUUGGCAAGUCAGAUGUGAAAGCCCUGGGCUUAACCCGGGAAGUGCAUUUGAAACUGCCUUUCUUGAGUAUGGGAGAGGAGAGUGGAAUUCCCAGUGUAGAGGUGAAAUUCGUAGAUAUUGGGAGGAACAUCCGUGGCGAAGGCGACUCUCUGGACCAAUACUGACGCUGAGACGCGAAAGCGUGGGGAGCAAACAGGAUUAGAUACCCCCGUAGUC